This 494-nucleotide ribosomal RNA is filed under the name uncultured bacterium. RNAcentral describes it as "partial 16S ribosomal RNA". It matches the Rfam family "Bacterial small subunit ribosomal RNA", at positions 28 to 507 of the family's 1533-position model. The record is from RNAcentral.
GACGAACGCUGGCGGCGUGCUUAACACAUGCAAGUCGAACGGAAAGGCCUGCUUUCCCUUGUGGAUUGCGGGUACUCGAGUGGCGAACGGGUGAGUAACACGUGAGUGAUCUGCCCCCAACUUGGGUAUAAGCCUGGGAAACUGGGUCUAAUUCCCGAUAGGACUGCAGGGUGGUGCCUGUGGUGGAAAACGAUUUUCUAGUGGUUGGGGAUGAGCUCGCGGCCUAUCAGCUUGUUGGUGGGGUAAUGGCCUACCAAGGCGGCGACGGGUAGCCGGCCUGAGAGGGUGGACGGCCACAUUGGGACUGAGAUACGGCCCAGACUCCUACGGGAGGCAGCAGUGGGGAAUAUUGCACAAUGGGCGGAAGCCUGAUGCAGCGACGCCGCGUGGGGGAUGACGGCCUUCGGGUUGUAAACUCCUUUCGACCGCGAGGAAGCCACCUGGUUGGAAGGGUGGUGACGGUAGUGGUAGAAGAAGCACCGGCUAACUACGUA